UACGUAGGGGGCAAGCGUUGUCCGGAUUUAUUGGGCGUAAAGAGCGUGUAGGCGGUUAGGUAGGUCCGUUGUGAAAACUCGAGGCUCAACCUCGAGACGCCGAUGGAAACCAUCUAACUAGAGUCCGGAAGAGGAGAGUGGAAUUCCUGGUGUAGCGGUGAAAUGCGCAGAUAUCAGGAAGAACACCCGUGGCUAAGGCGGCUCUCUAGUACGGUACUGACGCUGAGGUGCGAAAGCCAGGGAGGCGAACGGG
RNAcentral lists this ribosomal RNA (253 nucleotides) under uncultured bacterium. RNAcentral's name for it is "partial 16S ribosomal RNA". It matches the Rfam family "Bacterial small subunit ribosomal RNA", at positions 524 to 776 of the family's 1533-position model. The record is from RNAcentral.